UCUCAUCUGAUGAGAUGAGCCCAGUGAUAACAGCCCAGCAGGGAGUGGAGAUUCGGGUCCAGGGGUAGAGAUGUAGGAAUGAAGGUACAUUCCCAGCAUGGAGAAUGAAGACAGAACUGAAGUGAGAACUCCGAUGCCCAUCUCUAAAGGGUGAAUCAAAAGGGAUCAACAAGCAAAAGAGAAAAAGGGACAACAGAUUUAGACGUGAUAGGAAAAACAGCAGAGCUCAUUCAAGUCCUCAGAAGGGUCUCUCCCUUCUCCUUUGAAGCCUUUCUCACAUACCAAAGCCGUCUUCCAUCUGGCUCUGAAGAGAAGAGAUGUGGCUAACAACGAGAUUUUUGCAGCAAGGGCAGCAACAACACUGUCAUAAUCAUAAAUGAAAGUGGACUUUCUGACAUUAAUCUGAGGCCCCUACCUGGCUUCCACCAGCCCCUGAGGUAGGAACACAUGAAAUUCUAUUUCCAACAACGCAAGAUUUUUGAAGAAACUGGCAGGUGACUUGGUUUGCAGUAACCUCAGGACAGAACACUAACUUUGGGGAAUUAUAGCUGCAGUUUCAUUUCAGCUCAAAAUCAGAUUCCAUGAUAAAUUUGCUAAAAUUUGACUCUCCCAAACUGUAUUUGCUUCCAGCCUGGGUUAGUUAGCCCACUGAAGGGUCAAUGGCCACCAAAAUAGAAAAGUAAAUAAAUAAAAUAGAUCUGACAAUAAAGGUAAAAUCAAAGCUCUAAACUAAUAUAGUACAAGGGUUCGGUGGUUGCGGGGAAGAGCUAGUAGGUCUUGAGCCCAUACCCAGAGGUGAAAUGCAAAUGUUCUUCCAGAGACUGGUGCCCUCCCAGGCAAGGUGAUGGAGCUGAGGGGAGAGGGCUGCGUUUAAUGAACUCGAAGCAGGAGGGCUUCUACCCAGGAAAGGCUGAGGACAGUAGUUCUCAAACUUGAGAGGACAUCAGGAUGACCUGGAGGGCUUACUACAACAAAGAUCAAUGAGCCGACCCCUCCAGUAUUUCCAAUUCAGGAAGUCUGAGGUCAAACCUGAGAAUUUGCUUGUUAGUAGGCUCCAAUGUAAUGCUGAUGAUGCUGAUCUGGAGACCACACUCGGUUAACCACUGAUUUUAAAGGCAAGGAGCUAUGGGUUUAGAUGGAUUGGUGAGUCUCACAAUCAUCUUAAGAAUGGAGGCGGUAUCUUGAGUCGUGGCAUGAACUAGUACAGUCCAGAGUUAGUUUGUUCUGCCAGUUCUUCCAGGAAGGUUUGGGCUGGGGUUUGUAAAAGGCAUUGCCUCAGGGGGUACACACUGAAGAGGAAGAGAGGGUACACCAGCAGAUCCCCUACAAUGCCACCAGCAGUAGAGAACCCAAUGGCAUGGUCAGAGAACUUGAUGAUUAUUAAUUUUCAUCAAAUGCAUGUAAGCAUCCCCUCAUGGGAAUAGAACUAUUGUUUAUUCAUGGUUUUUAUUUUCAAAAUACCUGGCUCACAGUACAUUUUUCAUUGAUUUGAUUAGUAUUAGAAUAAGCUAGUUCUGAUAAAAUGUCAACUAAUUCCUGUUUCUUUAUCAUCUCCCUGCAAAAGAUUAUACCAAUUCAUAUCAUCCAAGGGACUUUUCUUUUUUGUAAAAAUUAUAGAUAAAAUCUUGAAAGACUAAGGUAGAUAGAUAAGAUGGCAGGAGCCCCCUUUCCCAAGAAACCAAGAAUUAAGCAACAAAUCUUUAACAUUUUUAAAAUUUACAUGCACACAUGAUCACACAAAACAUAAAACAAGGCAAAAUUCACUAUAUAAGUAACAGAAAAGACCUCAUAGAGAGCGUGGGUAGCACAAUAUUUUGGUGUUAGAUGAUUCACACGAUGCACUUAAGAGGUUGAAAUGGGAAAAUAUUAAACCAGCAGGUCAGCCUUUCCAUACUUGCUGCCAAUGUUUACUUCAGUUCCGGUAACACAGUAGGCUUGGGUAUUUUUCUUUUCAGUAGGUUGAAGAAUAUGAAUAACAUAUGUGGCAUGUGUUGAUGCUUGUUGAUCCAGAGCUCAGAAAUGUUAACCUAAAGACAGAAAGCCUUGGAGGAGACUGGAUGCUGGACAGCCUUGGAUUCUGAUUCAUUUGAGACUCGGCAUAGAGAUGAGGCCAUGAUCUCCCCCACCCUUUAAACUGCAGAGGAUAAAAAAGGGAUGUAAUAUAAUACUACACCUCAGGGUAUCAGAGUACAGGAAAUAAAAGUGUUUCACUUGGACAAAGGUGAAACUUAUGAACAUAUUAAUGGAAUAAAACAUUUUGUGAGAGCUGUAGGCAGUUGUGAUUGCUCAAGUGCCUUUUCCACAUCAUGGAACUGGGAUUGAGGAGAAGGGUUCAGCCCCCAAGGAGAAGAUCAGAACUGCUUCUGGAAGCAGCAUGAGAGCUUUCACUCUCCUUGAGAAACGAAUAUUAGAGGAGGAAACGGCGGCCCUGGAAAGAGCUUACUGUCCAAGAGGCAGAGGAUGCUGGCGGACACAGAGCUACGAAAGGAUACUCAUGAUGUGGUUUCCACUGGAGUAUAGACAGGUCUACUUUGUUCUGAAGUAUGAAGGCAUCAUCAUGCUUUUCAUCAUACUAAUGGGCAUAAUUUUUUUCUACUGAGCAUCUUUGAAAAUGCCUCCUUGUGCACACAUGUCGGUGUGUGCUGAAGUAAAUCAUGUGUAAUGGAUAGGAAUUCUUUGAAUUUUAGCAAAUGUCAAAUUGUCCUAAGUGACUACACCAGUUAAUGCCAGCAGUUCAUAAGCAUUUCCUCUUCUCAUGAGAAGACUCUUGUUCAUAUCAACCAUUACAAACUUUUGCAGCCAGAAAUAAACUUCUCCUUCCUUUCCCUUUCUGAAACCAUCCUGAGAAAGGAAAAUAUUCUCAAUACAGACAAAGUGUUCUGCCUAAAAGAUGAAAUCUGUCUUGAGACACGUAUUUAACAACUGUAGAAAUCCAAAAGAAUUAGCAUCCAAUCUGGAAGUCGUGAGUGAAGCUGCGGAUUGACUUGACUGGGCUCAGCCACUGAGCUGCCUCAACUGGCCAAGGAACAGGAUAUAACUAUGCGGACUUCUAUGUUGUCUUAAUCUCAUUGUAUGUAUUACGUAUUUAGUUUCAAUAAAGCAUUUGUACCAAUGGCUCUGGAGCUUGAAGGAAGACUAAAGGAAUGUGUAGUGAUUCUGAGUAUGAUGUAGACCUAUGCAGCAGAGCUAUGGGGGAGAUUAACAAAGUCCUUUCUUCCAGUACCAGGAUGGUCAUGAGUGGCAGUCCCAUCCAAACAGGUCACUAGGACCAGAAGGCUGGACCCUGCCCUCUCUGUCUGACCAUGACAGCUUCUUGCUCCUUCCAAGGGAGGCAAGGAGCUUUCAACUGGGAGUUUUCAGUGAAUGAGCACCAUGACACAGUCAUUGCUGAUCCCUCCAUCUAGCUGUUGUGAAAAGAUAAAGCAAAGGAGGCAAGGAAAUGCUUAAUCUAGCAGACAAGAGAAUGGACAGUGUGAUCCUUGUUUGUGCUAGUCACAGGGUGGUGCACCACAUUUCAGCUCCAUGAUGCUACUUGCUUUCCUUCAUUUCCUCUGUUUCCAUUUAUUCCCUUCAUUUAUGGUCUAGAAUCAAACAAUUCUAAACCUCAGUGUCUUAUGAAGCUGACACUUCAAAACCUGCAAAAGCAGGAUGCCUUUGAGGUAUUUAGUCCCACCAAGUACAACUAGAGCUGUCAUAGACAGUGUAGGUGUGCAGAGAUCCACCUCCUUGCUCACUGGCAAUUAGGGAGUUAAUGCUCUAAAAUUGAAGCAAGGAGCCUGGACUGUUGCCAUUUUAUGGAAGCCACGUAAGUUGGGCAGGACUCCACAGGAGCUGCCCAAGACCUGAUGAUGGCAAGAGAUUUCUAUGUCUGAGUCAUGAAAUCUGUCUACUAUGAAAGAUGCUAUGCUCUGCCUGAGAAAUAAUUCAGGUGUGAGUUCUAGUCUCUCAGGACAUUACAAAGGAGAGAAAAUGAUGUAAAGAAAGAAUGUCAGAGUAGGAAUCCACUUUUGCCUCAAACUAGCUAGGAGACUAGGCAAGUCAUGGAAGGCCUCAGUUUCUCUGCCUGU
Callithrix jacchus (white-tufted-ear marmoset) is the source of this 4067-nucleotide non-coding RNA. Lineage: Eukaryota; Metazoa; Chordata; Mammalia; Primates; Cebidae. The record is from RefSeq and is a predicted model, not a curated record.